AAUCAAGUAAGUUAGCGUCCAAGGUGGAUGCUUAGGCGUUGAGAGCCGAUGAAAGACGUGGCAUAGCUGCGAUAAGCCUCGGGGAGCCGUUAAGCAGGCUUUGAUCCGGGGAUGUCUUAGAUGCGGUAACGCGGCCUGGGUAAUACCAGGUCAGCCCACGGUGAAUACAUAACCGUGUGGUGGGUAACGAGGGGAAUUGAAACAUCUUAGUACCCUCAGGAAAGUAAAGAAAAAUCGACUCCCUCAGUAGCGGCGAGCGAACGGGGAACAGCCCAAACCAUCGAUGUGCCAAGGUUGUGGCCGUUGCAUCGGUGGCGUCGUGGGACUUCCAGGCGUGACCACAAAAGCGCCAAGAAGUUACAAAACCAACAUUUAGCAGAAGGUUCUGGAAAGGACCGCCGCAGAGAGUGAAAGCCUCGUAAGCGAAAGGUGUUGGACUUCUGGAAGGAUCCCAAGUAGCGCCAGACACGUGAAACCUGGUGUGAAUCUAGGGGGACCACCCCCUAAGGCUAAGUACUACUCAACGACCGAUAGCGACAGUAGCGUAAGCGAAAAGUGAAAAGUUCCCCUGUAAGGGGAGUGAAAAGUACCUGAAACCAUGGACGUACAAGCGGUCGGAGGCCUAUGCCCCUCGGGGAAUGGCUGACGGCGUGCCUUUUGCAUAAUGACCCGACGACUUACGGUACAAGGCGAGGUUAAGGACUUCCGGUCCGAAGCCGAAGCGAAAGCGAGUGCGAAUAGCGCGUCUAGUCUGGUGCCGUAGACCCGAAAGCAGGUGAUCUAGCCAUGAGCAGGGUGAAGCGCGUGUAACAACGCGUGGAGGCCCGAACCGGUGUAGGUUGAAAACUACUCGGAUGACUUGUGGCUAGGAGUAAAAAGCUAAUCGAACCUGCAGAUAGCUGGUUCUCCCCGAAAUAGCUUUCGGGCUAGCGUCUGGUAAAAUAGCAUACGGGGGUAGAGAUACUGAAUGCGAAUGGGGGGCUACCCGCCUACCCACCGCAACCAAACUCCGAAUACCGUAUGUGGUACCCAGGCAGUCAGACAGUGGGCGAUAAGGUUCAUUGUCGAGAGGGAAACAGCCCAGAUCGCCAGCUAAGGUCCCCAAGCAAGUUUAAGUGUUGUAAAGGAACUGAAAUCACAAAGACAGCCAGGAUGUUGGCUUAGAAGCAGCCAUCAUUUAAAGAGUGCGUAAUAGCUCACUGGUCGAGUGGUUUUGGGCCGAUAAUGAACGGGACUCAAAUCUUGCACCGAAGCUGCGACUGCAUGAAACAUGUGUUUCAUGCGGGGUAGGGGAGCGUUGGUUUUGCUUUGAAGCCGUACGGUAACGAGCGGUGGAGCGGAACCAAGUGCUUAUGUCGGGAUGAGUAACGAUAAACAGGGUGAGAAUCCCUGUCGCCGAAAACCUAAGGUUUCCUGGGCAAGGUAAAUCCGCCCAGGGUUAGUCGGAUCCUAAGGCGAGGCCGAAAGGCGUAGUCGAUGGGUAACAGGUCAACAUUCCUGUACUGCCGGCGAACGUUUGACCGAUGGGGUGACGGAUUCUUGAAAGUAGUCGCGGUGUUAGUUAUCCGCGUACAAGCCUGAGGGACGCUGUUGGUAAAUCCGCAGCAUUAGUUCCUAGGGGUGAUGUCGAGGCCUUGAGCCGAAGCUACUGGAGAGGGUUCCUGGAAAAACCUCUAGGGAGUUCAAUGGUAUCCGUACCAAAACUGACACAGGUUGGUGAGGAGAGAAUCCUAAGGCGCUCGAGAUAACCUCUGUUAAGGAACUCGACAGAUUGGUCCCGUAAGUUCGCGAGAAGGGACGCCCCUAUUGGUGAAGGCACUUGCUGCCGGAGCUUUUGGGGGUCACAGAAAAUCGGGAGUGGCGACUGUUUACCUAAAACACAGGACUCUGCUAAGCCCUAAAGGCGACGUAUAGAGUCUGACGCUUGCCCAAUGCCGGAAGGUUAAGAGGAGGUGUUAGCUUCGGCGAAGCUCCGAAUUGAAGCCCCGGUGAAUGGCGGCCGUAACUAUGACGGUCCUAAGGUAGCGAAGUUCCUUGUCGGGUAAGUUCCGACGUGCACGAAUAGCGUAACGACUGCUCCAUUGUCUCAACAGAGGGCUCGGUGAAAUUGUAGUCGAGGUGAAGAUGCCUCGUAGCCGCACCAAGACGGAAAGACCCCGUGAACCUUUACUGUAGCCUGAUAUUGGGCCCUGGUGCAUCAUGUGUAGGAUAGGUGGGAGGCUUUGAAGCGGAUACGCCAGUGUUCGUGGAGCCUUUGGUGAAAUACCACCCUUGAUGUACUAGUGUUCUAACCCGGUGCCUUGAAUCAGGGCCGGGAACAGUUUCAGGUGGGCAGUUUGGCUGGGGCGGUCUCCUCCCAAAAAGUAGCGGAGGAGCCCCAUGGCACCCUCAGAAUGGUUGGCAAUCAUUCGUAGAGCGUAAGGGUAUAAGGGUGCUUGACUGUGAGACUAAUAAGUCGAGCAGGUGUGAAAGCAGGGCCUAGUGAUCCGGCGAAUUCCGAGUGGAAGGGUCGUCGCUCAUCAGAUAAAAGGUACUCCGGGGAUAACAGGCUGAUCUCCCCCAAGAGUCCACAUCGACGGGGAGGUUUGGCACCUCGAUGUCGGCUCAUCACAUCCUGGGGCUGGAGAAGGUCCCAAGGGUUUGGCUGUUCGCCAAUUAAAGUGGUACGUGAGCUGGGUUCAGACCGUCGUGAGACAGGUCGGUCCCUAUCUGGUGUGGCUGUUGGACACUUGAAGAGGUCUUUCCCUAGUACGAGAGGAUUGGGAAGGACGAAGCUCUGGUGCACCAGUUGUCUCGCUAGAGGCACAGCUGGGUAGCUAACUUCGGAACGGAUAAGCGCUGAAAGCAUCUAAGCGCGAAGCCUUCUCUGAAACUAGGUGUCCCUAUCAGGGUCCUGGGAGACUACCAGGUUGAUAGGCAGUAGCUGUAAGCAUGGCAACAUGUUCAGGCGAGCUGUACUAAUAGCCCGAACGGCUUGAUUUC
Molecule: ribosomal RNA, 2982 nt
Filed under: Planctomycetota bacterium
Lineage: Bacteria; Pseudomonadati; Planctomycetota
Description: 23S ribosomal RNA
Rfam family: Bacterial large subunit ribosomal RNA
Source: RNAcentral